This 833-nucleotide ribosomal RNA is filed under the name Streptomyces sp. MN3. RNAcentral describes it as "bacterial SSU rRNA". It matches the Rfam family "Bacterial small subunit ribosomal RNA", at positions 87 to 925 of the family's 1533-position model. The record is from RNAcentral. Lineage: Bacteria; Bacillati; Actinomycetota; Actinomycetes; Kitasatosporales; Streptomycetaceae.
GGGGAUUAGUGGCGAACGGGUGAGUAACACGUGGGCAAUCUGCCCUGCACUCUGGGACAAGCCCUGGAAACGGGGUCUAAUACCGGAUACUGAUCCUCGCAGGCAUCUGCGAGGUUCGAAAGCUCCGGCGGUGCAGGAUGAGCCCGCGGCCUAUCAGCUAGUUGGUGAGGUAACGGCUCACCAAGGCGACGACGGGUAGCCGGCCUGAGAGGGCGACCGGCCACACUGGGACUGAGACACGGCCCAGACUCCUACGGGAGGCAGCAGUGGGGAAUAUUGCACAAUGGGCGAAAGCCUGAUGCAGCGACGCCGCGUGAGGGAUGACGGCCUUCGGGUUGUAAACCUCUUUCAGCAGGGAAGAAGCGAAAGUGACGGUACCUGCAGAAGAAGCGCCGGCUAACUACGUGCCAGCAGCCGCGGUAAUACGUAGGGCGCAAGCGUUGUCCGGAAUUAUUGGGCGUAAAGAGCUCGUAGGCGGCUUGUCACGUCGGUUGUGAAAGCCCGGGGCUUAACCCCGGGUCUGCAGUCGAUACGGGCAGGCUAGAGUUCGGUAGGGGAGAUCGGAAUUCCUGGUGUAGCGGUGAAAUGCGCAGAUAUCAGGAGGAACACCGGUGGCGAAGGCGGAUCUCUGGGCCGAUACUGACGCUGAGGAGCGAAAGCGUGGGGAGCGAACAGGAUUAGAUACCCUGGUAGUCCACGCCGUAAACGGUGGGCACUAGGUGUGGGCAACAUUCCACGUUGUCCGUGCCGCAGCCUAACGCAUUAAAGUGCCCCGCCUGGGGAGUACGGCCGCAAGGGCUAAAAACUCAAAAGGAAUUUGACGGGGGGCCCCG